GAUGAACGCUGGCGGCGUGCCUAAUACAUGCAAGUAGAACGCUGAAGGAGGAGCUUGCUCUUCUGGAUGAGUUGCGAACGGGUGAGUAACGCGUAGGUAACCUGCCUGGUAGCGGGGGAUAACUAUUGGAAACGAUAGCUAAUACCGCAUGACAACAGUUAUUGCAUGAUAACUGUUUAAAAGGGGCAACUGCUCCACUACCAGAUGGACCUGCGUUGUAUUAGCUAGUUGGUGAGGUAACGGCUCACCAAGGCGACGAUACAUAGCCGACCUGAGAGGGUGAUCGGCCACACUGGGACUUAGACACGGCCCAGACUCCUACGGGAGGCAGCAGUAGGGAAUCUUCAGCAAUGGACGGAAGACGGACCGAGCAACGCCGCGGGAGUGAAGAAGGUUGUCGGAUCGUAAAGCUCUGUUGUAAGAGAAGAACGAGUGUGAGAGUGGAAAGUUCACGCUGUGAAGGUAUCUUACCAGAAAGGGACGGCUAACUACGUG
RNAcentral lists this ribosomal RNA (495 nucleotides) under uncultured bacterium. Its description in RNAcentral is "partial 16S ribosomal RNA". It matches the Rfam family "Bacterial small subunit ribosomal RNA", at positions 28 to 507 of the family's 1533-position model. The record is from RNAcentral.